This is a long non-coding RNA of Cyprinus carpio (common carp), 734 nucleotides long. RefSeq lists it as uncharacterized. The transcript is spliced from 3 exons. NCBI's taxonomy places the organism in Eukaryota, Metazoa, Chordata, Actinopteri, Cypriniformes, Cyprinidae. The record is from RefSeq and is a predicted model, not a curated record.
GCUGUUAGGGCAUGCUUAUGUGUUUUGGGGUGGUUGCUAAGGUAUUCUGGGUGGUUAGGGUUUUGCUAAGAUAUUUUCUGGUUGUUAGUAGUUGCAGGGGAAAUCUGUGUGGUUGCUAGGGGGGUGCUAAUGUAUUCUGGGUGGUUAGGGUGUUAAGAGGUAUUCUUUUUUGGUUGUUAGGUAGUUGCAGGGGAAAUCUAUGUGGUUGCUAGGGGGUUGCUAAGGUAUUCUGGGUGGUUAGGGUUAGGUUUUGCUAAGAUAUUUUCUGGUUGUUAGGUAGUUGCAGGGGAAAUCUGUGUGGGUUGCUAGGGGGUUGCUAAUGUAUUCUGGGUGGUUAGGGUGUUAAGAGGUUUUUCUGGUUGUUAGGUAGUUGCAGGGGAAAUCUGUGUGGUUGCUAGGGGGUUGCUAAUGUAUUCUGGGUGGUUAGGGUGUUAAGAGAUUUUUUUUGGUUGUUAGGUAGUUGCAGGGGAAAUCUGUGUGGUUGCUAGGGGGUUGCUUAUGUAUUCUGGGUGGUUAGGGUGUUAAGAGGUUUUUUUGGUUGUUAGGUAGUUGCAGGGGAAAUUUGUGUGGUUGCUAGGGGGUUGCUAAUGUAUUCUGGGUGGUUAGGGUGUUAAGAGAUUUUUUUGGUUGUUAGGUAGUUGCAGGGGAAAUCUGUGUGGUUGCUAGGGGGUUGCUAAGGUAUUCUGGGUGGUUAGGGUUAGGUUUUGCUAAGAGAUUUUUCUGGUUGUUAGGUA